Molecule: transfer RNA, 76 nt
Filed under: Burkholderiales bacterium
Lineage: Bacteria; Pseudomonadati; Pseudomonadota; Betaproteobacteria; Burkholderiales
Also listed under: 1 other name
Description: tRNA-Lys
Rfam family: tRNA
About the family: Transfer RNA (tRNA) molecules are approximately 80 nucleotides in length. Their secondary structure includes four short double-helical elements and three loops (D, anti-codon, and T loops).
Source: RNAcentral
GGGGUGUUAGCUCAGUUGGUAGAGCAGCGGACUCUUAAUCCGUUGGUCGUCGGUUCGAAUCCGACACGCCCCACCA